GACGAACGCUGGCGGCGUGCUUAACACAUGCAAGUCGAGCGGUAAGGCCCUUUCGGGGGUACACGAGCGGCGAACGGGUGAGUAACACGUGGGUGACCUGCCCUCAGCUCUGGGAUAAGCCUGGGAAACCGGGUCUAAUACUGGAUAUGACUCCAUGACGCAUGUUGUGGGGUGAAAGCCUUGUGCGGCUGAGGAUGGGCCCNCGGCCUAUCAGCUUGUUGGUGGGGUGAGGGCCUACCAAGGCGACGACGGGUAGCCGGCCUGAGAGGGCGACCGGCCACACUGGGACUGAGACACGGCCCAGACUCCUAC
RNAcentral lists this ribosomal RNA (312 nucleotides) under uncultured bacterium. RNAcentral describes it as "bacterial SSU rRNA". It matches the Rfam family "Bacterial small subunit ribosomal RNA", at positions 28 to 342 of the family's 1533-position model. The record is from RNAcentral.